AUGAAAUCAUCUGGCCAGGCAGGCCCCGCGGGAGAAUCAAGCCUUGUAAUUAGAUUGAAGGCUCCUAGGAAACGAAGCCCUGUUGCAGGAAGAGCAUUUGCAGAAGCUAAUUUGGGUUCUUCUUUUAAACUCAGAGCUUCCCUGGACCUCAACCAGCGCCAUUUGGGCAAAAAUUCAAUAAGCUGUGUGAGGGUCAUUAUUGAACAAACAUAUUAUCAGAUUUAGAUGGUUUGAUGUUAUUCUGAAGUUAUUCUGAAGACCAAUGAAAUAUCACGACGGUCAUGAAUAUACAAAAUUGUAUUCUUAUAUGAAUGAUACAGCUUAGUUUCUCAUAUCUGUUUUUCACUUUCCAGUACAUAUUUUUUGCAUUAAUAUUAAAAACCUGCCACACGGACAAACCACGCCACUGUUUCCUUUUCAUCAUAUGCAGUUAUUUGAAGAGAUUGGCAUUAAUCUGCGAAUUCUCCAUCAGGCUCAUUAGAAAAUAGCUGCGAAGAAGGAAUUAUCAAGUAGUUACCUUGGUCUCUGUGGUAGGAGUGGGGCUCCUUAUGGGGAAGAUGGGAGAGAAAUAUUUAGGAAGAAGAACCGAGAAUUGUCUUUUCUUCCUGAUUCUUACCUACAUUCAGAUAACUUAUUACGGAUGCUAUUUUAAUCUUCUGAAAUAUCUAAUCACUUUUUCAAGGACUAGGUUUAAUUGGGGAGGAUUUUCCCUUCUACAGGCUUGCUUCAAUUCUAGACUCAUUAAGAUGCUGAAAUAUCUAUUCUGGUAGUUCUUUCCUUACUGGUUUCAGGUUGAAUUCUGUCUAAAGUUUUACAGGUUCAGAUAUUGAAUCUAGUUAAGAGGCAGACAUGUUCCAUGAUCUCCACCUAGAGCAGUCAUUCAAAAACCCCAGAGUAGAGCUAAACUCCCUGUGGAUGUGAAGUAUAAUGCACACACGAAACUCCAGUGUAGCUGAGAAAUGAUUAUUAAGAUAAAACCAUGCCCUUGUGUACAAAACCCCACACAUAUAAAAAGAAUCAUCUUCAACUUUAUGUAAUUGUUUUUAAAAAUAGAUUACUUAAUAUUAGCUUUUUAAACAAAAUAUGAAAGUAAAAUUUUAAAAACUGUUAAUUAUUUGAAAUGCACGAGUGCUUUACAUUAGAAAAAUGGCAACUAUAUGCCCCUAAGCAAAUCAAGUCACUUCUCUGAUUGUGGUUUCCUCUUCUGCAAAGCUAGAGGAUUGUACCAGCUAUUUCUCAUGUUUCUCUCAGGUUCAGUAUUGAAUAAUUCUGUGGAUCAUUUUAUGUAAUUCAUCACACCUUAAUUUAUCAACUUCUAAUUACAUAUUUGUAUACAGGCUUUUCUUAAAAUGGUUUCAUACCAUUUGUUAUGUUAAUACUUGCUUAACAUUUAAAGAAAAAUUAAAGAUAGAGGAGAAUGAACAAGAGACAGGAAUAAGAAAUAGUUCCUAAAUCCCAAAGUACUAAAAGAUAUUACAGGAAAUACAAUCGUGUGGGUGAUUUGAAGAAAAGGAAAGUCACUGUAAAUUUAGUUUCUAUUUUGUGACAUAUAUGUUAUGGCCGCUAGUUAAUCUCACAACAACUCUAAAAUAGAUAUUAAUGUCCAGUUUAUACUGCUUAGUUAACUAUGGCUCAGAAAACCCCAAAUUCAUUGAAUUAGGAAGUAACACAGUCGACGUCUUUGGGUUUGAGUGACUCUUUACAUGCUCUUCCCAGAUCGCGAUGCAGUCUUUGUUCAUCCAGAUGGAAUAGCAAAAGGAAACUGCACAUGGAAGGGUUAAGUAGCACAUGAAAUGUCCAGGCUCUUAAAUAGUUCCAAAAUAAUAUCUUUUAUCAAUAUUUGAAUUUGUAUUAAAAAUACUUACCCAGGACAAAUUGAAAUAAAGUAUAACAAAGACUUGUAUCUGCUGAUGCUAUACUAUUCGGUGAUAUAAUAAUGCUAAUCAUAGCAAUAAAAUAUUUGCCAAAUAAAUAUAUAUUGAAGCUUUGAGCAAAGGCCAUCAUUUUUUUUUUUUUGUAACAC
Long non-coding RNA from Callithrix jacchus (white-tufted-ear marmoset), 2023 nucleotides. Lineage: Eukaryota; Metazoa; Chordata; Mammalia; Primates; Cebidae. The record is from Ensembl.